Triticum aestivum (bread wheat) is the source of this 291-nucleotide long non-coding RNA. RefSeq lists it as uncharacterized. The transcript is spliced from 3 exons. Lineage: Eukaryota; Viridiplantae; Streptophyta; Magnoliopsida; Poales; Poaceae. The record is from RefSeq and is a predicted model, not a curated record.
ACUGUAUCCAGUGUUCUGCAGCAUCCGGUGCCACCUCAAAGAACACCUUCUUCUAGCUGGGCAUUGAAAGCCUCAGGGACGACGAGGUGCAGCAACUUGGGUGGAAGCAGUUCAACUACAUGAUGAAGAAUUGAGUGAAGGGGUUAAGACGGUUGCGUUGUGCAUGCGCUGCUUGCUUGCCGCGGGACUUGCUUAUGGAGACAUUUGCAGCUACAGAGUAAAUAUGGGAGCUCUAGCAAAGCCUUGGCUUCUCAUCUAUAUCACACUUCAUGUUUAUUGCACUGGAAGAGC